This 153-nucleotide non-coding RNA is filed under the name pig gut metagenome. The record is from RNAcentral.
UGAAGAAUUGUAGGAUUUUCUUACACAAUACUUCGAUAUCCAGAGACAAUCCGUCAGGACGGCGGAUUAAGCUUGCUCUUGCCCAUGGAUGGGCAAUUGCAAGCGUUCUCGUCACUAGUCGAGACCUAAAAUGUAUUGUGUUAGAAAACCACA